UGCGUGUGUAAACAGAUCGGGAGACGUCGCGCGUGAUUUCCAAUAUUUUAGAUCAUUGUAAACGUGCGUGAGAAAUUUCUUCAUUAUUCGCGUGUGCGAUUAUUGUGCUAAGAUCAUUUUAAGCAGCGGCAGCAUUCUAGAAUCCCAAGGAUAUAACGGAGCUUGUGGCCACACGAUGGGUGCGGUUCCCGGGAAAUGCGAUGGACCCAUGCUAUACCGGAGGAUCCGGUUCGGGCCAAGCAGGGUCGGCUCGAAGAAACCACGUGGUCUCGGAAAAAAUAGUAUAUGUAAGCAUAAAUGAUUGUCGAGCGCCUUUGACGCGUACGUAAACAAACAAACGGGUUGGGAGACGUUGCGCAUGAUUUCCAAUAUUUUGAAAUUCUUUGGUAGAGUUUCUUGGAUAGUUUUAUAAUAUUUUUAUAUGCAGAAUGUAACCGAUCCUGAGACUCUGAUAUUUCGGCGUAUCCAAAUAGGACCUAUAUAGGCGUGCCGGAAUAGGGUCUCGUCCGAUUUACAAAUCGAACCCUGACUUACAAAAGCGUUACAUCUCUGUACAGAGCCUAUUCGAGCUUGCCUGAAUGGCGCCUAGACAGAAAUGGGGAAAAACUAUUUAGGGCCUUUACAAGCCCUCUUUUAAAUUCCUACCCGGAGAAUGUCGUCGGAUA
Molecule: long non-coding RNA, 665 nt
Organism: Odontomachus brunneus
Lineage: Eukaryota; Metazoa; Arthropoda; Insecta; Hymenoptera; Formicidae
Exons: 5
Source: RefSeq, a predicted model, not a curated record